AGAGAGAGACAUGCGCGCAUAUCAAUAAGCGGAGGAAAAGAAACUAACAAGGAUUCCCUUAGUAACGGCGAGUGAAGCGGGAAGAGCUCAAAUUUGAAAUCUUCAAGGUUUUACCUUGACGAAUUGUAGUUUAAAGAAGUGUUUUCUGCUGAGGUUUUGGUAAAAGUUCUUUGGAAUAGGACAUCAUAGAGGGUGAGAAUCCCGUAUUUGACCAUUAUUUUCAGCUUUGUGAUACACUUUCAAAGAGUCGGAUUGUUUGGGAAUGCAGUCCAAAAUGGGUGGUAAAUUUCAUCUAAAGCUAACUAUUGGCGAGAGACCGAUAGCGAACAAGUACCGUGAGGGAAAGAUGAAAAGAACUUUGAAAGGAGAGUUAAACAGUACGUGAAAUUGUCAAAAGGGAAGCGUUUGACACCAGUGUUGUUUUCUCGAAAAUCAAUUAAAAAUGGCUCGAUUUUGUAUUGCUGAGACCUUAAAAGCUCACUGUACAUUUUUCGUGUCUUUUUUAAUGCACUUUUCGUUUAACAAGUCAACAUCAGUUUCUUUUGUUGUAAAAGGGUCAUUGGAAGGUGGCUUUCUUUUCGGAGAAAGUGUUUAUAGGCCUUUGGCCUCUGCAAUCGGAGAGACUGAGGUCUGCAGCGUAGACUCUUCGGGGUUAGAUACAUUUGUGCUAAGUUAUAGCCUUUUCAUAGACAACUUGUUGACUAUAAUCAGUCAUGUAGCUUACUCGCUUAUGCUAUUUUACCUACGCUUAGGAUGUUGAAGUCAUCGUAUCGCGC
This 776-nucleotide ribosomal RNA is filed under the name uncultured Neocallimastigales. RNAcentral describes it as "partial large subunit ribosomal RNA". It matches the Rfam family "Eukaryotic large subunit ribosomal RNA", at positions 23 to 645 of the family's 3401-position model. Lineage: Eukaryota; Fungi; Neocallimastigomycota; Neocallimastigomycetes; Neocallimastigales. The record is from RNAcentral.